RNAcentral lists this ribosomal RNA (497 nucleotides) under uncultured bacterium. RNAcentral describes it as "partial 16S ribosomal RNA". It matches the Rfam family "Bacterial small subunit ribosomal RNA", at positions 28 to 507 of the family's 1533-position model. The record is from RNAcentral.
GAUGAACGCUGGCGGCGUGCCUAAUACAUGCAAGUCGAGCGAACGGACGAGAAUCUUGCUUCUCUGAUGUUAGCGGCGGACGGGUGAGUAACACGUGGAUAACCUACCUAUAAGACUGGGAUAACUUCGGGAAACCGGAGCUAAUACCGGAUAAUAUUUUGAACCGCAUGGUUCAAAAGUGAAAGACGGUCUUGCUGUCACUUAUAGAUGGAUCCGCGCUGCAUUAGCUAGUUGGUAAGGUAACGGCUUACCAAGGCAACGAUGCAUAGCCGACCUGAGAGGGUGAUCGGCCACACUGGAACUGAGACACGGUCCAGACUCCUACGGGAGGCAGCAGUAGGGAAUAUUCCGCAAUGGGCGAAAGCCUGACGGAGCAACGCCGCGUGAGUGAUGAAGGUCUUCGGAUCGUAAAACUCUGUUAUUAGGGAAGAACAUAUGUGUAAGUAACUGUGCACAUCUUGACGUUACCUACUCAGAAAGCCACGGCUAACUACGUG